RNAcentral lists this ribosomal RNA (404 nucleotides) under Actinomycetes bacterium. RNAcentral's name for it is "Actinobacteria bacterium partial 16S ribosomal RNA". It matches the Rfam family "Bacterial small subunit ribosomal RNA", at positions 355 to 776 of the family's 1533-position model. The record is from RNAcentral. Lineage: Bacteria; Bacillati; Actinomycetota; Actinomycetes.
UGGGGAAUAUUGGACAAUGGGCGCAAGCCUGAUCCAGCCAUGCCGCGUGAGUGAUGAAGGCCCUAGGGUUGUAAAGCUCUUUCACCGGUGAAGAUAAUGACGGUAACCGGAGAAGAAGCCCCGGCUAACUUCGUGCCAGCAGCCGCGGUAAUACGAAGGGGGCUAGCGUUGUUCGGAUUUACUGGGCGUAAAGCGCACGUAGGCGGACUUUUAAGUCAGGGGUGAAAUCCCGGGGCUCAACCCCGGAACUGCCUUUGAUACUGGAAGUCUUGAGUAUGGUAGAGGGGAGGGGAAUUCCGAGUGUAGGGGUGAAAUUCGUAGAUAAUCGGAGGAACACCAGUGGCGAAGGCGGCUCACUGGACCAUUACUGACGCUGAGGUGCGAAAGCGUGGGGAGCAAACAGG